RNAcentral lists this ribosomal RNA (253 nucleotides) under uncultured bacterium. RNAcentral's name for it is "partial 16S ribosomal RNA". It matches the Rfam family "Bacterial small subunit ribosomal RNA", at positions 524 to 776 of the family's 1533-position model. The record is from RNAcentral.
UACGUAGGGGGCAAGCGUUGUCCGGAUUUAUUGGGCGUAAAGAGCGUGUAGGCGGCCAGACAGGUCAGCUGUGAAAACUCGAGGCUCAACCUCGAGAUGUCGGCGGAAACCCUCUGGCUAGAGUCCGGAAGAGGAGAGUGGAAUUCCCGGUGUAGCGGUGAAAUGCGCAGAUAUCGGGAAGAACACCCGUGGCGAAGGCGGCUCUCUGGGACGGUACUGACGCUGAGACGCGAAAGCGUGGGGAGCGAACAGG